Colius striatus (speckled mousebird) is the source of this 653-nucleotide long non-coding RNA. RefSeq lists it as uncharacterized. NCBI's taxonomy places the organism in Eukaryota, Metazoa, Chordata, Aves, Coliiformes, Coliidae. The transcript has 3 exons. The record is from RefSeq and is a predicted model, not a curated record.
UAACGGAAGAGACGCUGCAAACACAGGAUGGACAGAAACCCUCGAGCUGCUGUGUGCCACGACCGGAGCUCGGCGGGGAGAAGAAAUAUGCCCCCCCCCAGAUCAAAAGCCAGAUUACUAAAGAUUUGUAUUGCAUGAAGGCACAUGUUGAAAGACAGGAGUGAAACACACUGAUGUUCAUUGAACAAGAGCAAAAAGCAGCUCAAAAGAAAAUGGAAGAGGCUAUUCAGUUACUCUGUGGUGAAAUGAACCAGUUCACAGACAUCAAAGCCCAGGCGCUGUAGGAAGGUCCCUGUUGCCUGUGUGAAGGGGCCAGAGAUGAGAUCCUGCAAAACUUACUGACCGCUGAAUUUCUGAGAGGACCUCGGUUUCAUGCAGGAAAACUAAACAGUGAGUUCCCAGGAAGCAAAAGCUUGUUCAGGAAGAAAGUGGCAUUCCUAGAUGAAGAAAAUAAGGUUAAUGUGAAUAAAGCAUGUGGGAUUCAACUAGCUCAUUUAGCCAAAUGGAGCUCCAUGGCUUUUAAAGUCCUUGACAGAACUGAUGGUCACGACAGAACCACAGAAUGGUUUGGGUUGGAAGAGACCUUAAAUCUCAUGUAGUUCCAAACCUCUGCCAUGGGCAGGGACACCUUGCACUAGGACCAGGCUGCUCAG